GGGGAAUUUUCCGCAAUGGGCGAAAGCCUGACGGAGCAAUACCGCGUGAGGGAAGAAUGCCCGUGGGUUGUAAACCUCUUUUAUUAGGGAAGAAAUAAUGACGGUACCUAAUGAAUAAGCAUCGGCUAACUCCGUGCCAGCAGCCGCGGUAAUACGGGGGAUGCAAGCGUUAUCCGGAAUCACUGGGCGUAAAGCGUCUGUAGGUGGUUCAGUAAGUCUGCUGUUAAAUAUUGGGGCUUAACCCUAACCAAGCAGUGGAAACUACUAAACUAGAGUAUGGUAUGGGUAGAGGGAAUUCCCAGUGUAGCGGUGAAAUGCGUAGAUAUUGGGAAGAACACCAGUAGCGAAGGCGCUCUGCUAGGCCAUUACUGACACUCAGAGACGAAAGCUAGGGUAGCG
This 399-nucleotide ribosomal RNA is filed under the name uncultured rhodophyte. RNAcentral's name for it is "bacterial SSU rRNA". It matches the Rfam family "Bacterial small subunit ribosomal RNA", at positions 356 to 770 of the family's 1533-position model. Lineage: Eukaryota; Rhodophyta. The record is from RNAcentral.